Long non-coding RNA from Nomascus leucogenys (northern white-cheeked gibbon), 3022 nucleotides. RefSeq lists it as uncharacterized. The transcript is spliced from 2 exons. NCBI's taxonomy places the organism in Eukaryota, Metazoa, Chordata, Mammalia, Primates, Hylobatidae. The record is from RefSeq and is a predicted model, not a curated record.
GAGAGUCGGUGUGUAUUUAGGAAUCAGGUACAGGGUACAGCGUUCAGGGGGCCAGAGGUGGCCCAGAGAUUGAGGAAUACACACCUACAGGCCAAGUAAAUUGGACUCAAAGGUGCUAGGGGCUCAGGAGGGUGCACCUGUUGGCCAGGUGUGUUGACAUGAAAAUGGUGGUGCACGAAAGUUGCUAAGUAGGGCAGGCUAAAGCAGGCCUCAAAAAAAGCCAGGGGGAGCCAGGGCACAGUUCCACUAGGGCUGGGGGCGGGGUGGAGAUGUCGGGUUGGGGAAUCCACGGAAUAAGCAGCCCGGAGACGCCCACUCCUCCCACAUCGGGUCUCCGUCCCGCUCCACCCCUAAGACCCCUUGGAAAUCAAAUAGAGGUGAAGGGGUACAGGCGUGGAGAAUUGCAGGCAUGCUGAUCGCGGGUAUCGCAGCGCUGCUGUUGUGGCUUCUAGUGCUGGCGCUGGCGCUGGCGUGGCGGGGGUAGGGUGGGUGCCGCGGUCAGAUGCGGGGGUCCCUACCUCCUCGGCCCAGGCCGCUCCCAUUGCUGAGGAACUUGCAGCUGCAGUCCGGAGGCCUGGACCGCGCACUCCAUUCCCGACAGGAAUGGGGGAACGGAAUUCUGGAUUCGUGGAGGUGGGGCUGGGGACUAGAACUCCUCCUGAAUGAAGACAGCUAUGAUCCUGAGGAAGGACAGGAAGGAUGAGUGCUCCGGCCCGCUGAGUACUAGGAAAGGAGAAUAGGGAGUGGAGAGCUUGGGGCCGGGAUACUGGGUCGUAACGAAGGAGCCCAGAGCAGGAAAUCAGGUUGUGGGAAGAGGGGAGCAGAGGGUCUGUUCUCCUGGUUCAAGAUGGGGAGGCUGAGUACUGAGCGCCCAGGUGACGACUCUGAGGUUGCAGUAGGCUGGGAAGCUAGGCUUCUAGGUCCCAAGGGAAGAAGGAAGUGGGGCCCUGGAUUCCUGGAUCUCAGGGAGGAAGGAGCUGGGGAUCUGAAUUCCUGGGCCUGAGGAAUGAGGGUCUGAGACGAGGACUCCUGGGUCUGAAGGAAGAGGGAGCUGGGGGCAAUGGCUCCGAUGAGGAACCCGAUGGGCACCCGCUGAACACCGGCUCCCCGUAGCUCUCCGGCCGCUGGGGCCGGGUGUUCACAAUGCAGCUGGGCCCGCGCCCUGCAGUGGUGCUGUGCGGCUACGCAGCGCUGCGGGACGCGUUAGUGCUACAGGCGGAUGCCUUCUCCGGCCGCCGGUCCAUGGCAAUCUUCGAACGCUUCACACGCGGAAACGGUGAGGCCUGGGCGCUGGACGUGCCGGCCGGGACGCUGCAGGCUGGGCGGGUAAAUGGUAGAGGCGGGCAAAUGGGGGUGGGGCCUAAUAGACUCCAUCUAAUGAGGUGCAAACGGCCGAGAGAGGGCGGGGCGGCGCUAAAGCGUAAGGUUCGAACGGAGGUUCAUCCUGCAGCCAACAGGAGAGAAGAGCCUAAGACUCAAAGCCCGAGAGCCAGCCUAGGUCAGGGAUCGAGCCCAGCAAAGGUGGGGCCAAUGUGUGGAUAGGGCACUUGGAGGUCUGGUAAAAAAGCAAAGCGAACGAAGCCGGCCGCAGGAGUCGGAGGCCCCGAAAGGGGUAUAGCCAGUGACCCGGCGCUUCCUGGAUAGGGCGUGGCCGGCUCCCAGGCCCGCCUCCUUUCCCGUCCCCACCACAGGAAUCUUGUUUUCUAACCGGCCGCGCUGGUGGACACUGCGCAAUUUUGCACUUGGAGCGCUUAAGAAGUUCGGGUUGGGUACGCGGACCAUCGAGGCGCGCGUCCUGGAUGAGGCAGCUGGUCUGCUAGACGAAUUUCAAGCCACCAUUGCUUCAGCCUGGCCGGGAGGGCGGAAGGGCCUGGUGUGGGAGUGGCCCUUGCACUGCCAAGAUGGGGCCACGGGAAGGUAUUUGGGUGUAAGAAAGCCAGUAAGCCCAUGGGGCUGGCUGGGGCAGGACCACGCGUUAUGACCACCGUCCUGUUCCUACCCCCAAAAGCCCCCUUUGACCCCGUGCAGCUACUGGAUAAUGCUGUAUCCAAUGUUAUCUGUUCUUGUCUUCGGGAACCGCUAUGGCUAUAGGGACCCGGAGUUCCUGAGGCUCCUGAACCUCUUCAGUGACAACUUCCGCAUCAUGAGUUCCAGAUGGGGCGAGGUGAGAGGGCCGGCCACAAUCUCUCCCUUGUGCGUCCAGCCUUAUGCCAAAUCCCGAGUACACAGACCUACCUACAAUGGAUCAUUAGAAUGGGACAGUUAGAUUCCUGGAAGAGUUCCAGAACCUCCAAUAUCAAAGUCCUGGUUCGAUCUCCCUGUAGCAAAACUAAGGCCUAGUGGCCUUGUGCAGGGCCCAUGUUGAGACAGACCCUGUCUCUCCAGAUGUACAUUUGCCCCGUCUCUCAUGGACUGGCUCCCGGGCCCGCACCACCGAUCUUCCAAAACUUUUCGGAGCUGCGGGUCUUCAUCUCUGAGCAAAUCCAACGACACCGGCAGAUGCGGCAGCCGGCGGAGCCCCGCGAUCUCAUCGAUUGACCAGAUGGGGCGCUUUUGUGAUUCCCCUGCUUGUGACUGCGCACCGGGACCCCACUCAAUUCAAGGACCCAGACUGCUUCAACCCUACCAACUUCUUGGACAAGGGCAAGUUCCAGAGCAAUGAUGCUUUCAUGCCCUUUGCCUCAGGUGCGGGCAGAGGAGGAAGGGGACCAGCCUGGACUGGCUCUGGGGUGCAUGGUGCUCACUAUGCACCUGUGUACCCGGCAAAGCAGACGUGCCUGGGCGCAGACCUGGCCCACUCAGGUAUCUUCCUAUUCCUUACGGCCACCCUACAGAGGUUCUGCCUGCUCCCUGUGGUAAACCCUGGCACCAUCAACCUCACCUGCAGUGCACUGGCCUGGGCAGUGUCCCCCCAGCCUUCCAGUUCCAGCCAGUGGCCUGCUGAGGUCAGGCUCCACUAUGGUGGGCUCACUGGCCCUCAAACCUCCAUACCCUCCUUGGUCGAUAAAGGCCCUAAAUUGCA